GCGGGCCGGGGGCGGGGAGAGCUGCCUCGGGGCCCCACGCCCCCGCUGCAAGGCACGGCCGGGCGGGGGGCAGCGAGCGCGCUCAGGGUGGCCCGAGCAAACCAAAAUUAACUGGCUGCUUUCUGAGCUGGCUUUGAAAAUGCAAACAGCUGCCCGUACCCGGAGUUAUUUCAUAAAUAAUAAAAAAAGCUCCGCCCGGGUACAUUUGCAGAAUGAGCUGAUGGCGUUGUGGGAUGUCCGUGUCUGCACGCCGUCGCCUCCCCCAGCGGGGGCCCUGACUUGUUAUCGCAGCGUGGCAUCGUUUUGCUGGCAGAAUGAGCGCUUUAUUCACGCGGAUGUAAGCUUUCGGCAGGGAAGGCAGCUUGUUUUGAAAUGUCCACUGCUACCAGUGCUGAGAGGAAAAACGUUAAAUCGCCGUGUGCGCGGCUGCAACCCCUUAAAGAGGCCCAAACGGUGUGUAACAAAGCGGCAGCUCCUCCGUGGAAGCGCCCGGCCCGUCUGCGAGAGACAAAACGCCGUAGGUCAGAGGAGGGACGGACGGUGCUGGCCGGCGGGUGAUGCAGGGCGGACCCAGAGCCAGGCCGGCGUCCGUUCGCCGAGGACAGAAGCGCGGCUUUGCUGCACAGCUGCGUUCCAGGGCGCGCGGACGCACCGCGGGCUGCUGGAACCUUCGUGCUUCUGGGGCCAGGGGCACAGAGGGCUUGCGCUCGACAAAAGCCCUACGGCACCGACCGCAUUUCCCUUCACGCUCUGGCCUAGGGGCCAAGUACUCUCCAACCCACCCAUCCCUCCCUUUGAGGAGAGGAACUAUACUAUUCAAAUUGCUGCUUCUGCUCUUGUACUCUCGGUUGUGCUCAUAUUGUGCCUAAGCAAAUACACCAAUCUGUGCAGCCUCCGGGGCAGUUCAAGAGAUCAGAGUGUGGCUCAGGGAGCUCAAACAGCAAUUGUUGGACAAAUGUUUCCCAUAUCCUCUCCUGCUCGUGAACAAUGUGUCCUCAUACCAACAAGACCAUGGAGCUUCAGCUUUUGUUAUAUUUGUUAAGAGAAAUUGACAGUUACAAAUGGGCUUACUAAAAUAAAUGUACUCUUCUAAAAGUGGACAUGUUUUUAAAACUACUCUUCUGCUCCCUGAGCUGUGUGCAAGGCAGGCUGAGCUACUUGCGCUCACAGCAGUUACUUCUAGACAAGAAGCCUUUUCUUCAUUCUCAGAGCUGCUGGAGGGCCCUAAGAGGAACUUCAGCGUGUCAGUGUGGUGAGGCGAGUUGUCUGAAGGACAUACUUCUGUGUACCUAGUCACCUUCAAUGGAAAAGCCCUCCAUUAACUUACUUAUUUUAGUGGGUUUUUUUGUGUGUGUUUCUGUAGUUGUUUUGUGUGUGUGUGUGUCCUUCCCCACUCCGCUCCCCCCCAUCCCGUGGCUGUUGGUAAUCUUCAGAAAGAUUUUUUUUCAUUUUUUUUUCCCCAUCCCAACAUUUUGUGACACUCCAUGAGCUGUGGAGCCAUCUAUCUUUACUAAUCACCUUAGGUUUCACUCUGGCUUGUAUGUCUGACUUCAUCUAUGAGGCAUUUUGUGACAUUCACUAUGAAAAAUGUCAGAGGAAAGGAGGUGUUUCAGUGCAGGCAACGACAAUGCAGAGAGAGGAAAGGAGCUGCAAACUUUGCCCCAUGCUUUGACCGAUCUGAUUUUUGUAUGUAAGGAGACAUUUGGAGCUAGUAAAAUGAUAUUGCAAGAAACUCUUUCAGCCGUGUGGAGAGAGUGACAGAAACUAUUCAGAGUAAGGAAUGUCAAAUCACGUGGCACGACCUGAACUGGGUAUUUAUUUACAAGACAGGGCAGAUGGCAUCAGUGCUUCCCCCUGUUUUUUGCUGGUCCCAUUCAUUAGAGUCAUUCUUGUGAGCCGUGGUCUGAAAGAAAGGACAGCCAGGAACUAUAAAAGCUCCAUUACGUUUGUGUUGAACGUUAACAUAGAAUCAGUGAAGCAAAAGGUAAAAAAAGAAGUAGGCAGAAGGGAAGAAGGAAGGAAAACUGUGUUCCCUGUUACUUCAUAGUGAAAUAAGAAAAGAGUAAACUUAUCAUGUGGAAUGACACUGCUAGGACAUUUCAGAUGGCAGUAACGAGCAACAGCAUUUACUAAGAUGGAAGAAGAAAGUUUCUCGGACACAUUAUCAAAUUCCAGUGUUGUUUUUUUUUUUCUUAUUUAAACCACCGGGAGGUGGGAGCAGGCACUGACACAGGGAGUGGCAGUCUCAGAAUGGCGGACCAUGGCUUAGGAAAAUCCCAGGCUGCUACAUUACUUGAGAUAUCCUCACGUGUUCAGGGAACAAGAAAAAAAGAUAACAGAAAAGCAGCAGCAAAAGGCAGGGUUCUGUAAGUUGCUCCAAAACAUCGGAGCCUCUCUAAGUAGCAUCAGCCAUGUUUCAAGUGGCAGCAAACUUGUGCUCAUCUCCUGCUUUUAACGCAAUCCAAAUUCACAAGUUUUAGCCUGCAAAGUCACUUAAACUUCCUCAGACAGCAGGGAUUCUCAUCAGCACUAAGCGCCAGCAGUUGCUGUUGCUCAGGUCCUCAGCCCCUCAGAGCAACUGUGCUGCUCAGGGCUUCGCUGCUCCUGGGAAACUAUUGCAACUGUAUAGGAGUUUAAACGGUGUCCUCUGAAAAUCUCCCAGCCACUGCUCUUCUGAAUAUCUGACAUUGUCUUGUGGCGGUAAAGGAGGAGCAGAGUCCUGGUAAAUCUAUGAGGCCAGGGUUUGGGACCAGCUCUGGAGCACCGGACUUCGCACGUAGCGAGGAACUCUUGGGAACAGAGAAUUCUCUGCCUUCUUACACGUUUAAAAAUAGAUCCAAUUCAACUCCCAAGCUAAGUCUGAGUGAGGCACAGCAACCCCUGCAUGAUGUCUUUUCCUGCUGUUUUAAAGCCUCCUUAAACGUUGCCAGUAUCAUUUUCC
This 2941-nucleotide long non-coding RNA is filed under the name Gallus gallus (chicken). The record is from RNAcentral. Lineage: Eukaryota; Metazoa; Chordata; Aves; Galliformes; Phasianidae.